This 503-nucleotide ribosomal RNA is filed under the name Oeneis norna (Norse grayling). RNAcentral describes it as "partial 16S rRNA". Lineage: Eukaryota; Metazoa; Arthropoda; Insecta; Lepidoptera; Nymphalidae. The record is from RNAcentral.
AGAUUUUAAUGAUCGAACAGAUCAAAAUUUUAAACUUUUGCAUUUAAAUUUUAUCUUAAUCCAACAUCGAGGUCGCAAACUUUUUUUUUUAUUUGAGCUAAAAAAAAAUAUUACGCUGUUAUCCCUAAGGUAAUUUUUUCUUAUAAUCAUUAUUAAUGGAUCAUUUAAUCAUUUAUUUAUGUUUAAUUUUUAAAAAAAGUUAAUUUAAUUUUUCUAUCACCCCAAUAUAAUAAUUAAUUUUAUUUCAAUAAAAAUUUUUAUAUAAUUUUAAAAUAAAAAUAAAUAUAAAACUCUAUAGGGUCUUCUCGUCUUUUAAAAUUAAUUUAGCUUUUUAACUAAAAAAUAAACUUCUAAAAAUAAAUAAGAGACAGUUUAUAUUUCAUCAAAUCUUUCAUACAAGUUUUCAAUUAAAAAACUAGUGAUUAUGCUACCUUUGUACAGUCAUUAUACUGCAGCCCUUUAAUUAUUAUCAGUGGGCAGAUUAGACCUUAAAUUAUAUUCAA